This 467-nucleotide ribosomal RNA is filed under the name uncultured bacterium. RNAcentral's name for it is "partial 16S ribosomal RNA". It matches the Rfam family "Bacterial small subunit ribosomal RNA", at positions 28 to 506 of the family's 1533-position model. The record is from RNAcentral.
GACGAACGCUGGCGGCGUGCUUAACACAUGCAAGUCGAACGGAAAGGCCCUGCUUUUGUGGGGUGCUCGAGUGGCGAACGGGUGAGUAACACGUGAGUAACCUGCCCUUGACUUUGGGAUAACUUCAGGAAACUGGGGCUAAUACCGGAUAGGAGCUCCUGCUGCAUGGUGGGGGUUGGAAAGUUUCGGCGGUUGGGGAUGGACUCGCGGCUUAUCAGCUUGUUGGUGGGGUAGUGGCUUACCAAGGCUUUGACGGGUAGCCGGCCUGAGAGGGUGACCGGCCAAUUGGGGACUGAGAGACGGCCCAGACCCCUCGGGGGGGCAGCGGGGGGGAAUUUUGCAAAAGGGGGGGAAGCCUGGUGCAGCAACCCCGGGGGGGGGAUGGCGGCCUUGGGGUGGAAAACCGCUUUCGCCUGGGACGAAGGGGGGGUGACGGUAAUGGGAAAAGAAGCACCGGCUAACUACGU